Molecule: transfer RNA, 75 nt
Filed under: Candidatus Uhrbacteria bacterium
Lineage: Bacteria; Candidatus Uhriibacteriota
Description: tRNA-Thr
Rfam family: tRNA
About the family: Transfer RNA (tRNA) molecules are approximately 80 nucleotides in length.
Source: RNAcentral
GCCGACAUAGCUCAAUGGUAGAGCAAUGGUAUCGUAAACCAUAGGUUGUGGGUUCAAGUCCCUCUGUCGGCUCAA